This 482-nucleotide ribosomal RNA is filed under the name uncultured bacterium. Its description in RNAcentral is "partial 16S ribosomal RNA". It matches the Rfam family "Bacterial small subunit ribosomal RNA", at positions 30 to 507 of the family's 1533-position model. The record is from RNAcentral.
AUUGAACGCUGGCGGCAUGCUUUACACAUGCAAGUCGAACGGUAACAGGCCGCAAGGUGCUGACGAGUGGCGAACGGGUGAGUAAUGCAUCGGAACGUGCCCAGUCGUGGGGGAUAACUACUCGAAAGAGUAGCUAAUACCGCAUACGAACUAUGGAUGAAAGCGGGGGACCGUAAGGCCUCGCGCGAUUGGAGCGGCCGAUGUCAGAUUAGGUAGUUGGUGGGGUAAAGGCUCACCAAGCCAACGAUCUGUAGCUGGUCUGAGAGGACGACCAGCCACACUGGAGCUGAGACACGGCCCAGACUCCUACGGGAGGCAGCAGUGGGGACUUUUGGACAAUGGGCGCAAGCCUGAUCCAGCAAUACCGCGUGCAGGAAGAAGGCCUUCGGGUUGUAAACUGCUUUUGUACGGAGCGAAACGGCUCUGGUUAAUACCCGGGGCUAAUGGCGGUACCGUAAGAAUAAGCACCGGCUAACUACGUG